UACGUAGGUGGCAAGCGUUGUCCGGAUUUACUGGGCGUAAAGAGCGCGCAGGCGGUCGUUCAAGUCGCGUGUGAAAGCCCCCGGCUCAACUGGGGAGGGUCACGCGAUACUGAUCGACUCGAAGGCAGGAGAGGGUAGUGGAAUUCCCGGUGUAGUGGUGAAAUGCGCAGAUAUCAGGAGGAACACCCGUAGCGAAGGCGGCACUCUGGGCCGAUACUGACACUGAGGAGCGAAAGCGUGGGGAGCGAACAGG
RNAcentral lists this ribosomal RNA (253 nucleotides) under uncultured bacterium. Its description in RNAcentral is "partial 16S ribosomal RNA". It matches the Rfam family "Bacterial small subunit ribosomal RNA", at positions 524 to 776 of the family's 1533-position model. The record is from RNAcentral.